RNAcentral lists this ribosomal RNA (254 nucleotides) under uncultured bacterium. RNAcentral's name for it is "partial 16S ribosomal RNA". It matches the Rfam family "Bacterial small subunit ribosomal RNA", at positions 524 to 776 of the family's 1533-position model. The record is from RNAcentral.
CACGUAGGGUGCGAGCGUUGUCCGGAAUUAUUGGGCGUAAAGAGCUCGUAGGCGGUGUGUCGCGUCGGCCGUGAAAACUUGGGGCUUAACUCUGAGCGUGCGGUCGAUACGGGCAUCACUUGAGUUCGGCAGGGGAGACUGGAAUUCCUGGUGUAGCGGUGAAAUGCGCAGAUAUCAGGAGGAACACCGGUGGCGAAGGCGGGUCUCUGGGCCGUAACUGACGCUGAGGAGCGAAAGCAUGGGGAGCGAACAGG